RNAcentral lists this ribosomal RNA (443 nucleotides) under uncultured bacterium. Its description in RNAcentral is "partial 16S ribosomal RNA". It matches the Rfam family "Bacterial small subunit ribosomal RNA", at positions 338 to 795 of the family's 1533-position model. The record is from RNAcentral.
CCUACGGGCGGCAGCAGUGAGGAAUAUUGGUCAAUGGGCGCAAGCCUGACCCAGCAACGCCGCGUGAAGGAAGAAGGCUUUCGGGUUGUAAACUUCUUUUCUGAGGGACGAAGAAAGUGACGGUACCUCAGGAAUAAGCCACGGCUAACUACGUGCCAGCAGCCGCGGUAAUACGUAGGUGGCAAGCGUUCUCCGGAUGUAUUGGGUGUAAAGGGCGUGUAGGCGGGAAAGCAAGUCAGAUGUGAAAACUCAGGGCUCAACCCUGGGCCUGCAUUUGAAACUGUUUGUCUUGAGUGCUGGAGAGGCAAUCGGAAUGCCGUGUGUAGCGGUGAAAUGCGUAGAUAUACGGAGGAACACCAGUGGCGAAGGCGGAUUGCUGGACAGUAACUGACGCUGAGGCGCGAAAGCGUGGGGAGCAAACAGGAUUAGAUACCCCAGUAGUC